This is a non-coding RNA of Schistosoma mansoni, 45 nucleotides long. The record is from Rfam. Lineage: Eukaryota; Metazoa; Platyhelminthes; Trematoda; Strigeidida; Schistosomatidae.
AUCCAACUGACGAGUCCCAAAUAGGACGAAACGCGCGUCCUGAAU